CUCUGAGCUGUCAGCACAGACCCCAACGUGGGGCUCAAACUCACAAACUGCAAGAUCAUGACCUGAGCCAAAGUCGGACGCUUAACUGACUGAGCCACCCAGGUGCCCAAGGUCGCCCAACAUAUAAGUGGUAGAGCUGCCUACCUCUUCUCAGUGAACAUGCUGCCUCACAAAGUACAUGGCAGUCAGCCCCCCAAAUGUAUAUGGAGAUCACCAAGUAUAGAUAUUUACUAGGCACCUGUUACAUGGCAGGAAAUAUUUCAAGAGCUGGCCACCAGUCCUUGCCUUCGAGGACAAGUGGAGAGAAGCAGGUUUUAUUUUAGAGAGAGUUAGGACAGGGGGAGGAUGUGCUCUUGGCUGUAACAGAGGUCACUGGCGUACAAGGGGCACCAAGGUGGGGGCGGGGGAAUGGAAAAGCUUCCCAGAAGACAGGAUGGCUGAGUCAUAAGGCUGAUAGGACAAGAGGCAAGGGGGCAUAGUCCGAGCCCCAGAAACCCACUUUUGCUUCUCCACACUGUCUUCUAGUACCUGGCUCAACCCCGACUAUAAAAAAUGGUGCAUUAACUUUAUGAACUUCUGACAAUUUGUUUUGAGGUUGGGGAAGAACAUGGGGCUGAAGGAAGGCUGAGUCAUCUGCUAGGAAACCCCUUCCAGCCCUCCCAGCACAAGGGGGUCACCUGUGUCCCCAUGGAAACCUCGUGUCCUCAUGGAACACCUUCUGUCAGCCUGUGCUCCCAUGUUCCCACCAUGUCCUCUGCAAAGCUGACUUAGCACUCCACGCAUGAACUGUACCUCCUGUUUACGUGUCUGCCCUUGCACUUCUGUUUCUUUGUAAGCCCCUCCGAGGAUGGGGCCCACACUGCAUCUACAAGGGUCUGCUCUCAGAGGGUGCUUGCUGAACUGAACUGCCCUGAGCAGACCAAACCAGAUUUUCCAGAUGAAGCCACUUUGUUUGCUCCUGUGUCUAGUCAGCCAGCCGGGAUCACAUUCACCUUUAUGUCCAGAACAGGCCCUGGCAACUUGGACAGCACGAAUAGGCCACAGUUCAUCCUAACCACCAAGAAUUCUUUCUGUUGGAUCGUGAAGCACAUGAAAACCUCUCAAACCUGGCCUCUGCUGAGGCAUACUUGGUGCUUCUGUCCUGCUGCCCUGGGGAAUCGACAACACAAAUUUAACAGGAACCAAGAGCAUUCAGACUGGCCUAUCUGCAAAUGGCAGGGCUGUGGGCUAAGCAUCCAGAGGGAUGACCACUGACCGCCCUGGCCUGCUGAAAUUGGCUUUGGGACUUCCCGACCAAGUCGGCUUCAGGGUAACAGCCUACCUGUGAAGUGGGGCCUAGGGAGGGGAACCCAUAAGAAGGCGAGGUGAGCCCUAGCAAAGAUAUUCAAACCACAGAACAUCGUUCACACUCCAGAACCAGAAGCUCCAGGGUGGGAACACGUCUUGAAGACUAGAUAGCAUCCUAGAGUACCUUCCUAAGAAUGAGAAGUAAGCUUUUUGAAUUUGCAUCUGUAAAGGAGGUCCUGCUGCUUCCUUGUAAUUGAAGAAUCAGAGAGGAGCGCCCCCUCCCCUUUCCAGGGAGACAUCUGCAAAUAAAACUCAAAUGAAAUCACUCUGUGUCUCCCCCGGCAUGUAGACUGCAAGCUUCUCCCUUGCGGGUGUCCAUUAUCCGGACUGAAGGCUCCAUGAAAGCAGGAACCUUGCCUGUCAUCUCUGUGGUACUGCAGACCCGAACACAAUGCCUGACACACGAGAAGAAAAGCCAUGUGAGGACAUAGUGAAAAUGUAGCCCUCUGUAAGUCAGGAAGACAAGACUUGCCAGAAACCAACACCGAUGGCACCUUGAUCUUGGACUUCCAGUCUCCAGAACUCUCCCUCCCACCCGGAUGCAAGAUUUAACCAUGUGAUCUGCUUUAGCUAAUGGGAUGUUAGAAGACGUGACAUAAGCAGAGGUUUGAAAAGCACCUGUGGGUUUCUACUCAUCCUUCCCUGUGCCGUCACCACAAGAACAUGCCUGUGGAACAGAGCCAAAGAUCCCAACUGUCCCAAGGCCAUCCUAGAUCAGCAAUACCUGACCGACUCUCAGUCAUAUGAAAGAGAGAGCCCAGUCCCUCUCAGCAGAGCCAGUUAGGUGACCUAUAGCUAACCACAGUCACAUGAGGACGCACAGACAGGAGCAGCUAAGCUCAGAUCAGCUGGACCCCACAGACUUGGAGCUAAGUCAGUGCUUACCAUUGUAUGCGACUGUGGUUUUGAGGGUUUGGUUAAGCAUCACUCUAUCUGAUGAAGGGACCUGCCUUGUGUGACCUCCUGUGUCCCCUCCUUGGAAUGGCACGUGAAACAGGGUUACCUCAACCACUUUAUAAAUGAGCACCCUGUGAUUCAUACAGGUUAAGUGGAUUGACUUUAUUUCCACAGCUUCUUCUGAUCCCUGGUUCUCUGCUCAGGCUCCAGUCCUGCCUCUCUGAAAUCCUUAACCAACAGCAUUAACCCAGAGGCUGAAUCCAUUUUUUCUUUGGAUCAAAGCGGCAGUUUUUAUAGUUUGAAAGCACAGAGGGAGAGCAGAUGUUUCAGAAGUCCUUGGGCCCAAAAGGCAGAAGCUGCAGAAACAUUUGGCUCUACAGCCAUCCCUGCCCCCAACGCUGGGACACCCCCCUCCUUCCCAGGAUUCCACUCGGCUUUGAAGAGAUACACGAUGCAGGACAUUGCCAUCUCUCUGUGGCUGAUUCCAUUCAGAGGCAGAGGCAUUCUUCAGAUGCUUCACAGAGAUCCCUGCCAGGUAGGGAAGCCACCGGAGAGUUGUGGAGAAAUGAUCAAGAAUAAUCUUUUUGACCUUGCAACACUCACCUUAAAAAUCUACCCUCGCUCCCAAUCUCCCCCAACUAACAUCCAAACUCAUAUAAGAUCCUUUAUAACCUAGACCAAGCUAUAAUUUGAGCAUCACCACUGCCUCCCACUUCCCUCCCCAAACUUCUGUUUCAGAAUCAGAAAUGCCCUGCUCUUUUUGGGCAAGUGACCCAAGACCACACAUGUAGGGAGUGGCAGCACUGGGCUUCGAACCCAGGCAGGCUAGCUCCACAGUCCAUGAUCUACGACUCAGGCAGCAUUUUGAACUUUUGCCUCUGCUUAUACUUCCCGAUCUGUUCUGAAUGAGCUUUUCUUUUUUUUUUUCAUUUGCUGAACCUCUAUUCUUUCCUAUAAGAUCACACUCACUUCUUUAAAUACUUUAAAGACCUACUCACUUUGUGUGUUCAUUCAUGCGUGUGUUUUAUCUGCCUGAGGCUAGGAAGUGUCGGAAGGCCCUGCUGCUAAAGCUUUAUGGCAGCCAGUUUCAUGCAGAGCCUCAGAAAUCACAGGGAAAUAGUAGACUUUGUUCUAUUUUUAGUUGCUCCCAGGUUAAGGGUGAAAUAUGAUGGCCCCUAACACUGUAGGCUUCAUAUGUUCAGAGGGAAGGAUAGGAUUCCUCCCUUUUAGGAACAGGUAAUUCUAUUUUUUUAAAUGCUUAUUUACUUAUUUUUGAGAGGGAGAGAGAGAACCCCAAGCAGGCACCAUGCUGAGCUCUGAGCCCAGCGCUGUGCUCCCUCUCACAAACUGUGAUAUUACGCUGAAAUGAAGAGUUGGACCCUUAACUGGCUGAGCCACCCAGGCGCCCCUAGAAACAGGUAAUUCCAAAUAGACCCAUUUACAUUAUGUGUGUCUUAAACACCUGCUCACCCAGGAGACUUCACAGGAAAGAUAAAUCCCCGAUUCCUCUAGCCUGUAAAAGUACCAGUCACACUGAUUGGAACUGCCUCUUUUCGCUGGUCUACUCUUACUUGCUGUGCGCUCAUCAAAAAGUAGAUGGCCAGUUUUGUUUAUCUUUGUAUUUCCUUUCUAUCCUUCAUCUUCCUCACCCCCAUUAUUCCUGGCAUAUAUUACAAGCUCAAUGCUUACUUGCAGAAAAGUAAAAACUAAACCAUGAUAUUAGGCAGUAGACCCCCAGGGGUUCUUCUAAGAACUUCUUUACUUCUUCUAAGAAGUAAAACAGGGGCACCUGGGUGGCUCAAUCAGUUAAGCAUCCAACUUCACAGGUACACGAGUUUGAGCCCC
Molecule: long non-coding RNA, 4089 nt
Organism: Prionailurus viverrinus (fishing cat)
Lineage: Eukaryota; Metazoa; Chordata; Mammalia; Carnivora; Felidae
Exons: 6
Source: RefSeq, a predicted model, not a curated record